GACGAACGCUGGCGGCGCGCCUAACACAUGCAAGUCGAACGAGAGAGGAAGAGCUUGCUUUUCCGAUCGAGUGGCGAACGGGUGAGUAACGCGUGAGGAACCUGCCUCAAAGAGGGGGACAACAGUUGGAAACGACUGCUAAUACCGCAUAAGCCCACGGCUCGGCAUCGAGCAGAGGGAAACGGAGCAAUCCGCUUUGAGAUGGCCUCGCGUCCGAUUAGCUAGUUGGUGAGGUAACGGCCCACCAAGGCGACGAUUGGUAGCCGGACUGAGAGGUUGAACGGCCACAUUGGGACUGAGACACGGCCCAGACUCCUACGGGAGGCAGCAGUGGGGAAUGUUGCACAAUGGGGGAAACCCUGAUGCAGCGACGCCGCGUGGAGGAAGAAGGUCUUCGGAUUGUAAACUCCUGUUGUUGAGGAAGAUAAUGACGGUACUCAACAAGGAAGUGACGGCUAACUACGUGCCAGCCGCCGCCGUAA
RNAcentral lists this ribosomal RNA (482 nucleotides) under uncultured bacterium. Its description in RNAcentral is "partial 16S ribosomal RNA". It matches the Rfam family "Bacterial small subunit ribosomal RNA", at positions 28 to 523 of the family's 1533-position model. The record is from RNAcentral.